Molecule: small nuclear RNA, 18 nt
Filed under: Arabidopsis thaliana (thale cress)
Lineage: Eukaryota; Viridiplantae; Streptophyta; Magnoliopsida; Brassicales; Brassicaceae
Description: snRNA_04878
Source: RNAcentral
CCACAGGGAUAACUGGCU